UACGUAGGGUGCAAGCGUUGUCCGGAAUUAUUGGGCGUAAAGAGCUCGUAGGCGGUCUGUCGCGUCGGCUGUGAAAACCCGAGGCUCAACCUCGGGCCUGCAGUCGAUACGGGCAAACUAGAGUACUGCAGGGGAGACUGGAAUUCCUGGUGUAGCGGUGGAAUGCGCAGAUAUCAGGAGGAACACCGGUGGCGAAGGCGGUUCUCUGGGCAUUACCUGACGCUGAGGAGCGAAAGUGUGGGGAGCGAACAGG
Molecule: ribosomal RNA, 253 nt
Filed under: uncultured bacterium
Lineage: Bacteria
Description: partial 16S ribosomal RNA
Rfam family: Bacterial small subunit ribosomal RNA
Source: RNAcentral